GAUGAAGAACGUAGCGAAAUGCGAUACGUAAUGUGAAUUGCAAAUUCAGUGAAUCAUCGAGUCUUUGAACGCACAUUGCGCCCCCUGGUAUUCCGGGGGGCAUGCCUGUCCGAGCGUCAUUGCUGCCCUCAAGCACGGCUUGUGUGUUGGGCCCCGUCCUCCGAUCCCGGGGGACGGGCCCGAAAGGCAGCGGCGGCACCGCGUCCGGUCCUCGAGCGUAUGGGGCUUUGUCACCCGCUCUGUAGGCCCGGCCGGCGCUUGCCGAUCAACCCAAAUUUUUAUCCAGGUUGACCUCGGAUCAGGUAGGGAUACCCGCUGAACUUAAGCAUAUAUAAGCGGAGGA
Molecule: unclassified non-coding RNA, 343 nt
Filed under: soil metagenome
Description: partial contains 5.8S ribosomal RNA, internal transcribed spacer 2, and large subunit ribosomal RNA
Rfam family: 5.8S ribosomal RNA (bases 1-119)
Source: RNAcentral